UCUACGGCCAUACCACCCUGAACGCGCCCGAUCUCGUGUGAUGUCGGAAGCUAAGCAGGGUCGGGCCUUGGUUAGUACUUGGAUGGGAGACCGCCUGGGAAUACCGGGUGCUGUAGGCUUU
Molecule: ribosomal RNA, 121 nt
Filed under: Mus musculus (house mouse)
Lineage: Eukaryota; Metazoa; Chordata; Mammalia; Rodentia; Muridae
Source: RNAcentral